RNAcentral lists this ribosomal RNA (301 nucleotides) under uncultured bacterium. RNAcentral's name for it is "partial 16S ribosomal RNA". It matches the Rfam family "Bacterial small subunit ribosomal RNA", at positions 509 to 807 of the family's 1533-position model. The record is from RNAcentral.
CAGCCGCCGCGGUAAUACGAGGGGGGCAAGCGUUGUUCGGAAUUAUUGGGCGUAAAGGGUGCGUAGGCGGCCCCGCAAGUCCCAUGUGAAAUCUUCAGGCUCAACUUGAAGUCUGCAUGGGAAACUGCGGGGCUGGAGUAUGGGAGAGGUGAGUGGAAUUCCUGGUGUAGCGGUGAAAUGCGUAGAUAUCAGGAGGAACACCUGUGGCGAAAGCGGCUCACUGGACCAUAACUGACGCUGAGGCACGAAAGCUAGGGGAGCAAACAGGAUUAGAUACCCCGGUAGUCCCUGUCUCUUAUAC